AGAGUUUGAUCCUGGCUCAGAUUGAACGCUGGCGGCAGGCCUAACACAUGCAAGUCGAGCGGUAGAGAGAAGCUUGCUUCUCUUGAGAGCGGCGGACGGGUGAGUAAUGCCUAGGAAUCUGCCUGGUAGUGGGGGAUAACGUUCGGAAACGGACGCUAAUACCGCAUACGUCCUAAGGGAGAAAGCAGGGGACCUUCGGGCCUUGCGCUAUCAGAUGAGCCUAGGUCGGAUUAGCUAGUUGGUGGGGUAAUGGCUCACCAAGGCGACGAUCCGUAACUGGUCUGAGAGGAUGAUCAGUCACACUGGAACUGAGACACGGUCCAGACUCCUACGGGAGGCAGCAGUGGGGAAUAUUGGACAAUGGGCGAAAGCCUGAUCCAGCCAUGCCGCGUGUGUGAAGAAGGUCUUCGGAUUGUAAAGCACUUUAAGUUGGGAGGAAGGGCAGUAAAUUAAUACUUUGCUGUUUUGACGUUACCGACAGAAUAAGCACCGGCUAACUCUGUGCCAGCAGCCGCGGUAAUACAGAGGGU
Molecule: ribosomal RNA, 530 nt
Filed under: Pseudomonas sp. PCY22
Lineage: Bacteria; Pseudomonadati; Pseudomonadota; Gammaproteobacteria; Pseudomonadales; Pseudomonadaceae
Description: bacterial SSU rRNA
Rfam family: Bacterial small subunit ribosomal RNA
Source: RNAcentral